GGCUUCGUGGCUCAGCUGGUAGAGCGCUUGCCGCGUUGAGGCAUGCUGUGUUUGUUGCUGGUUUGAAUCCAGCCGAAGCCC
RNAcentral lists this transfer RNA (81 nucleotides) under Paragonimus westermani. RNAcentral describes it as "tRNA-Asn". It matches the Rfam family "tRNA". From Rfam's summary of the family: Transfer RNA (tRNA) molecules are approximately 80 nucleotides in length. Their secondary structure includes four short double-helical elements and three loops (D, anti-codon, and T loops). The record is from RNAcentral. Lineage: Eukaryota; Metazoa; Platyhelminthes; Trematoda; Plagiorchiida; Troglotrematidae.